This 253-nucleotide ribosomal RNA is filed under the name uncultured bacterium. RNAcentral's name for it is "partial 16S ribosomal RNA". It matches the Rfam family "Bacterial small subunit ribosomal RNA", at positions 524 to 776 of the family's 1533-position model. The record is from RNAcentral.
UACGAAGGGGGCUAGCGUUGUUCGGAAUUACUGGGCGUAAAGGGCGCGUAGGCGGCCAUUCAAGUUAGGUGUGAAAGCCCUGGGCUCAACCUAGGAAUUGCACUUGAUACUGUUUGGCUCGAGACCGGAAGAGGUAAGUGGAACUGCGAGUGUAGAGGUGAAAUUCGUAGAUAUUCGCAAGAACACCAGUGGCGAAGGCGGCUCACUGGUCCGGUACUGACGCUGAGGUGCGAAAGCGUGGGGAGCAAACAGG